GACAACGUCUGCCUAGAUCCCGUGGAAGAGGCUGGCUUACUGCCUUCUGGAAGUUCUCUUCUUAAUUUUUUUUUUUUAACUUUUCAUUUUGAACUGAAAUAAUUUCAGACUUUCAAAAAUGUUGCAAAAGUAGUACGAAGAAUGCCCAUAUCCCUCAGCCAAGUUCCCGAAAUAUUAACAUCUUAUAUAUCCACAGUACAGUGAUCAAAAUUAGGAAAUUAACAUUGGUAUAUUAACAACUAAUCGACAGACCUUAUCACAUUUUGCCAAUUAUCCCUUUAAUACCCUUUUUUUUGUUCCAGGAUAUAAUCCAGGAUCAUGCAUUGCACUGAGAUGUCACGUCUCCUUAGUCUCCCUUAAUCUGUGACAGUUCCUCUGUCAUUCGUUGUCUUUCAUGAUCGUGACACUUUUGAAGAGUGCUGGCCAGCCCUUUUGUAGAAUGUCACUGUUGUGUUUGUCCGAUAUUUCCUCUAGAUUAGAUUUAGGUGAUGCCUUUUUGGCAAGAGUACCACAGAAGCGAUGUGCCCUUCUCAGGAGGGACAACAGCUCAAAAUGUCUCAUGGCCAAUGAUGUUGACUUUGACCACUUGGUUAAAGUGCUAUCUGGCAGAUUUCUCCUUUGGGUUUAAUGGCCAGAGAGCUCCUUUUCAAAGGCAUCUCCGAAUGAACUAGGUCCCUCGUACACUAUUUGUCUGCCACAAUCUGCUGGAUUAAAACCAAAAAAACCAAACCUGUUGCUGCUGAGUCAAUUCAACUCAUAGUGACCCUAUCGGACAGAGUAGAACUGCCCUAUAAGGUUUCCAGGGAGCGGCUGGUGGAUUCCAACUGCCCAUCUUUUUCUUUUUGUUUUAAUUCUUUUAUUCUGCUAGUUACUCCUUCCACCUCAGGCAUUAUGAUGGGAGCAGGACAUAGGACGGAAGAGACAACAUCAUUGUCAUCAUUGUCUCCUACUUUAAUUGGGAGGCAGGUAAAGAGAUGCUUACAACAUGGUUGAUUCUUGCUGGCUCUAUCAAGGACAUCAGAGGGGCCACAGAGAAGAGGCUUCUAACUUGGGUAUUUUGCCAUUUCAGGGUUGCCCCUCACAUACCUACAGAAGCCAGACAGGCAAAUGGGCAAAGAGGGAGAGGUGGAAACUGACAAACUGGGAAGACAUGUAGGCCUACUGUUGCUAAACUUCUGAUUUUUUUCAAGAAAAGCCACAAAUGUGAUUUUUUUAAAUGCUAAGGAGAACUCUGCACACAUGGGGUCACAUUGGGUCAUCAUGAGUCAGAAUCCACCUUGACGGCAAACAACAACUGUGCCAGGAGUGUGAGAAAUGGGAUGAAGAGAAAAGGCUGAUGAUGGAGAUCAGUGAGGAGGAUCGUGCAAAUAAUCCAGGGGGAAAAAGGAUAAGGACCUGAACUAAGACUGCUGGCAAUGGAAAUAGCCUGCUUUGUGAGAAUUACGAGGUAAAAUCGUCAAAGUUGUUGAAUGAGGCAGAUGAGAAAGAGAAGAUUUGAAGAUGAGGCCUACGUUUCUGGCUUGGAAGACAAGGUUUACAAUUCCAACCUUCAUAUUAUCCUGAAUGUGUCUCCGGUUCCAUUUUUCAUAUUGCAAAGGCCAACAAGCAGGAGGGGCUGGAGAAGGAAAGAAAACACCUCCCAAGAAGCUCACACAGAAAGACUAUUUUGAUUUUUCGUUGAAAUGGUAUAAUCCUAAGUUGCUAUCCUUUCUUUUAUUAUCCCCACUUUGUUCUAUUAAUGAUUUAAGUUAAGCCUACAACUCUAAUCUCAAUAGAUGAUUAUUUUUUGUAUAACAGACAUUAUUAUAGAUAUGCAACAUACUAAUUAUAAGAUUCAAAUAGUGACAUAGGAGAGGUGUUUACCAGCAAAGAUGAAUCUCAAAUAGUGCUAAUUUCUCAGGGAAAAGUAGGAAGAAAAUACACACUUAUUAGUCCUAACAUGUACUAAGAAUUUUACUUGGCACUUUAUAUAAUUUUUUUGGUUAAUCUUUACUAUAAUCCUAUCUCAAGGUAAAUUAUCACCCCCCAGUUUUACAGAUGAGGAAAUAAGCUUGCAAUGGUUAAAUAACUUGCUCAUGGUUACUCAAUGCAUAAAUGGAAGGCCUGCCACUAUUAUUGAAUUCAGGUUUUUCUGAUUCUGUGCUAUUCUCAUUUUACCAGCUUUCUAACUGCUCUACCCCAAAUAGGUUACAGAGGUGUUGUUGAGAUAUUAAUCCACUAGGCCCUUGGAAUGGCCUGGCAGGGUCUAGGGGUAAGGAGCUGCAAUUCCAGGCCACUUAUCCCAGGACACUUUACAAACAUAUUUUUGUAUUAGUUCUAUGUUGUGAAAAGGUAAGACUACAAUGCUAUGCAAAUUGAGUGCCGGACUUAAUCUGAUGCAGUACUUUGAAUUAAUAUUUUAUCCUAAUAUUUCCAACUCUCAGAGUAACAGGUUUGAAAAUUUUCUGGAAAACAAAAUAAGGCAAAAAACAACAACAAAAUAAAUCCAUGAUUUAUAGCCCUUAGUUAAUCUCUGCUCCUACUUUAAACAAGCAUAUAUAAAAAAAAAAACACUGAGAAUAUAUGGCCAUAUGGGUUAUAAAUUCACACACAAAAUGAUAUAAGGUAUACUUACAUCAUGACUC
This is a long non-coding RNA of Trichechus manatus latirostris (Florida manatee), 2624 nucleotides long. RefSeq lists it as uncharacterized. Lineage: Eukaryota; Metazoa; Chordata; Mammalia; Sirenia; Trichechidae. The transcript has 3 exons. The record is from RefSeq and is a predicted model, not a curated record.